GUGAUAUGAACCGUUAUAACCGGCGAUACCCGAAUGGGGAAACCCAGUGUGACUCGUCACACUAUCAUUAACUGAAUCCAUAGGUUAAUGAGGCGAACCGGGGGAACUGAAACAUCUAAGUACCCCGAGGAAAAGAAAUCAACCGAGAUUCCCCCAGUAGCGGCGAGCGAACGGGGAGGAGCCCAGAGCCUGAAUCAGCAUGUGUGUUAGUGGAAGCGUCUGGAAAGGCGCGCGAUACAGGGUGACAGCCCCGUACACAAAAGCGCAUGUGCUGUGAGCUCGAUGAGUAGGGCGGGACACGUGGUAUCCUGUCUGAAUAUGGGGGGACCAUCCUCCAAGGCUAAAUACUCCUGACUGACCGAUAGUGAACCAGUACCGUGAGGGAAAGGCGAAAAGAACCCCGGCGAGGGGAGUGAAAAAGAACCUGAAACCGUGU
Molecule: ribosomal RNA, 436 nt
Filed under: Salmonella enterica subsp. enterica serovar Montevideo
Lineage: Bacteria; Pseudomonadati; Pseudomonadota; Gammaproteobacteria; Enterobacterales; Enterobacteriaceae
Also listed under: 1 other name
Description: partial 23S ribosomal RNA
Rfam family: Bacterial large subunit ribosomal RNA
Source: RNAcentral